RNAcentral lists this ribosomal RNA (253 nucleotides) under uncultured bacterium. RNAcentral describes it as "partial 16S ribosomal RNA". It matches the Rfam family "Bacterial small subunit ribosomal RNA", at positions 524 to 776 of the family's 1533-position model. The record is from RNAcentral.
UACAGAGGUCUCAAGCGUUGUUCGGAUUCAUUGGGCGUAAAGGGUGCGUAGGCGGCGCGGUAAGUCGGGUGUGAAAUCUUGGAGCUUAACUCCGAAACUGCAUUCGAUACUGCCGUGCUUGAGGACUGGAGAGGAGACUGGAAUUUACGGUGUAGCGGUGAAAUGCGUAGAUAUCAGGAGGAACACCUGUGGCGAAAGCGGCUCACUGGACCAUAACUGACGCUGAUGCACGAAAGCUAGGGGAGCAAACAGG